This 3054-nucleotide ribosomal RNA is filed under the name Anaerococcus prevotii. RNAcentral's name for it is "bacterial LSU rRNA". It matches the Rfam family "Bacterial large subunit ribosomal RNA". Lineage: Bacteria; Bacillati; Bacillota; Tissierellia; Tissierellales; Peptoniphilaceae. RNAcentral also lists the same sequence under 1 other name. The record is from RNAcentral.
UCAAGAAAGAAAGGGCGCAAGGUGGAUGCCUUGGCACAUGAAGGCUAUGAAGGACGUAAGUGAACGAAAACUAGGGAGAGCUCACAAAAAGCACUGACCCCUAGGUCUCCGAAUGGGGAAACCCGGCUGUGGAAGACACAGUCAUUACUAAGUGAAUACAUAGCUUAGUAAAGCAAGACCCUGUGAACUGAAACAUCUAAGUAACAGGAGGAAAAGAAAGAAAACUCGAUUUUCCAAGUAGCGGCGAGCGAAAAGAAAAGAGCCUAAUCCAUUGAGGAAUAUCUAGUUAGUCGAAUCAUCUGGGAAGAUGAACCAAAGAAAGUGAAAGUCUUGUAGACGAAAACUAAAUAAACCAGGGAGGAAAGUAGCACCGGACACGAGGAAUCCGUUGUGAAGAUAGGGGGACCAUCCCCUAAGGCUAAAUACUAACAUGUGACCGAUAGCGAACAAGUACCGUGAGGGAAAGGUGAAAAGAACCCCGAAAGGGGAGUGAAACAGAACCUGAAACCUAGUGCCUACAAGCAGAGAGAGCUCUAAAGAGUGAUCUCGUACCUUUUGUAGAAUGGGCCAGCGAGUUAUCGUAUAUAGCAAGGUUAAAUCUUUAAGAGAUGAAGCCAAAGCGAAAGCGAGUCUUAAUAGGGCGAAUAGUUAGAUGCGAUAGACCCGAAACCGGGUGAUCUAUCCAUGGUCAGAGUGAAGGUGAAGUAAAAUUCACUGGAGGCUCGAACCGGGUACGGUUUAAAACGUAUCGGAUGAACUGUGGAUAGGGGCGAAAAACCAAACGAACUCGGAUAUAGCUGGUUCUCCUCGAAAUAGCUUUAGGGCUAGCCUUUGAUUAAGAUUUAAGGAGGUAGAGCACUGAAUGGUCUAGGGCGGCUUACCGUACCAAAACCUAUCAAACUCCGAAUGCCAAAAAAUCAGAUCAAGGAGUCAGACUUAGGGGGAUAAGCUUCUAAGUCGAAAGGGAAACAGCCCAGACCGACAGCUAAGGUCCCAAAAUCUGGAUUAAGUGGAAAAGGAUGUGAACCUACUAAGACAACCAGGACGUUGGCUUAGAAGCAGCCAUGCAUUUAAAGAAUGCGUAAUAGCUCACUGGUCAAGUGGGUUUGCGCCGAAAAUGAACGGGGCUAAAAUCCAGUACCGAAGCUUCGGAUUGAUAGAGAAUUUAAAAUUGCUAUCAACUCAAACAAAAGAGAAAAGGUAAAACUUAGACGGAAAUAUUAAAAAAACAAUCAAGAUAAAACGAGUUAUCAAUAAACUAAUUACGCAAAACAAGUAAAAGGUAAGUUGUAAACUACGAAAUCACCAAACAAUCGCAUAAAGAAAUAUGCAACUGGUUAAAAACGUCAAAGUAUUUACCAGCAAUUUUAAUUUCUCUAUCAGUGGUAGAGGAGCAUUGUAUGGGCGAAGAAGCAUAAGCGAAAGCACGUGUGGAGCGCAUACAAGAGAGAAUGCUGGCAUGAGUAGCGAGAAGGGAUGUGAGAAUCAUCCCCGUCGAAACCCUAAGGAUUCCUGAGCAAGGCUCGUCCCCUCAGGGUAAGUCGGGACCUAAGGCGAGGCCGAAAGGCGUAGCCGAUGGAUAACAGGUUUAAAUUCCUGUACCGCUUAAAGUCGCUAUAGAGAAGUGAUGACGCAAGAGGAUAAGCUAAGCUAGCUGAUGGAUGCUAGUCUAAAAAGUGAGGCUGUCAUGUAGGCAAAUCCGCAUGACACAAGGCUAAGCUUUGAUAGGUAUCGAAAACACAAGUAGAGAAGUAGCUGAUUUCAAAUUGCCAAGAAAAGUCACUAUCAAGACCAAAGCGCCCGUACCAAAACCGACACAGGUAGGGAGGUAGAGAAUACCAAGACGCGCGGAAGAACCUUUGUUAAGGAACUCGGCAAAAUGUCCCCGUAACUUCGGGAGAAGGGGAGCCAGAGCGAUCUGGCCACAGAAACCAGGCCCAAGCGACUGUUUACCAAAAACACAAGUUUCUGCAAAAUCGAAAGAUGAAGUAUAGGAGCUGACACCUGCCCGGUGCUGGAAGGUUAAGGGGAAGGCUUAGCAUAAGCGAAGGCUAGAACUUAAGCCCCAGUAAACGGCGGCCGUAACUAUAACGGUCCUAAGGUAGCGAAAUUCCUUGUCGGGUAAGUUCCGACCCGCACGAAAGGUGUAACGAUUUGGGCACUGUCUCAACAAAGGAUCCGGUGAAAUUGUAGUAGUCGUGAAGAUGCGACUUACCCACGCUAGGACGGAAAGACCCCGUGGAGCUUUACUGUAGGCUGAUAUUGGACUUUGAGAUUAGACGUACAGGAUAGUUGGGAGACUUUGAAACACGCACGCCAGUGUAUGUGGAGUCACCCUUGGGAUACCAACCCUCUAAUAUUAAAGUUCUAACGAUGACCCUUGAAUCAGGGCAUCGGACAUUGUCAGUUGGGCAGUUUGACUGGGGCGGUCGCCUCCCAAAAAGUAACGGAGGCGUUCAAAGGUUCGCUCAGAAUGGACGGAAACCAUUCGUAGAGUACAAAGGCAGAAGCGAGCUUAACUGCAAAACCUACAAGUUGCGCAGAGUAGAAAUACGGACUUAGUGAUCCGGUGGCACCGCAUGGAAGGGCCAUCGCUCAACGGAUAAAAGCUACCCCGGGGAUAACAGGCUUAUCUCCCCCAAGAGUCCACAUCGACGGGGAGGUUUGGCACCUCGAUGUCGGCUCGUCUCAUCCUGGGGCUGAAGUAGGUCCCAAGGGUUGGGCUGUUCGCCCAUUAAAGAGGCACGCGAGCUGGGUUCAGAACGUCGUGAGACAGUUCGGUCCCUAUCCAGCGUGGGCGUAAGAAAUUUGAGAGGAUCUGUCCCUAGUACGAGAGGACCGGGAUGGACACACCGCUGGUGUACCAGUUGUUCCGCCAGGAGCAUAGCUGGGUAGCUACGUGUGGAAUUGAUAAGUACUGAAAGCAUCUAAGUACGAAGCAGGCCUCAAGAUAAGAUUUCUCAGAGUAGGUAAAGAAAAUACCUUUGAUAGGUCCAAGGUGUAAGUGCAGUAAUGUAUUAAGCUAAUGGAUACUAAACUUUAAAUCUUGACUGG